RNAcentral lists this ribosomal RNA (461 nucleotides) under uncultured bacterium. RNAcentral's name for it is "partial 16S ribosomal RNA". It matches the Rfam family "Bacterial small subunit ribosomal RNA", at positions 338 to 795 of the family's 1533-position model. The record is from RNAcentral.
CCUACGGGUGGCAGCAGUGAGGAAUAUUGGUCAAUGGGCGAGAGCCUGAACCAGCCAAGUCGCGUGAAGGAUGACGGCCCUACGGGUUGUAAACUUCUUUUGUCGGGGAGCAACUGGGUCCUCGCGUGGGCUUAGCGAGAGUACCCGAAGAAAAAGCAUCGGCUAACUCCGUGCCAGCAGCCGCGGUAAUACGGAGGAUUCAAGCGUUAUCCGGAUUUAUUGGGUUUAAAGGGUGCGUAGGCGGUUCGAUAAGUUAGAGGUGAAAUCCCGGGGCUCAACUCCGGCACUGCCUCUGAUACUGUCGGACUAGAGUUUAGUCACGGUAGGUGGAAUGUAUGGUGUAGCGGUGAAAUGCAUAGAGAUCAUACAGAACACCGAUUGCGAAGGCAGCGUACCAAACUACGACUGACGUUGAGGCUCGAAAGCGUGGGUAGCAAACAGGAUUAGAUACCCCUGUAGUC